This is a long non-coding RNA of Cavia porcellus (domestic guinea pig), 734 nucleotides long. RefSeq lists it as uncharacterized. The record is from RefSeq and is a predicted model, not a curated record. NCBI's taxonomy places the organism in Eukaryota, Metazoa, Chordata, Mammalia, Rodentia, Caviidae. The transcript has 4 exons.
UAGGGGAAAGGUCCCGCCGGUGGCGGCGGGGAAGUCUCGGGUUGGGGACGCCGCCCCGAGUGUUGUGAACCGGCAGCGUGCGGCGCAGGGCUCGUCCCUGCGUUCGUCCGCCUGUUUUAAAUGUCAGUGUACCCACACGCGGCUCCUGGAGUGCGUGCUUGGCUGGGAAGAGGACUGAUCUCCGGCAGCCGCAGGGACAUUUCUGCGAGUCUCACAGGGGACGCCUCCUCUGCAGGCCCCUGGGGCUGGCUGUUCGGCACGGCGUAUCUGAACUCGGACCCUUCCCUGCCGAAUCACCCCUCUGGGAGGUCCGAAGGCGCCCUGUGUGUCUCGAUGAGGCUGAGGCAGGAGGACAGGCUACGUUUGAGAUCAGCCCAGGCUACACAGCAAGACUUGGUCUCUAAAAGACAGAAAAAGACCUGGAAGGGGAGUGAUGUGAAUGUGAACAGAAGGUGGACGCAGGCGAGUCGGCCCGUCAGGGGACCUGGUGGCCUAUCCCUGUAAAGAUGGUCCUUGGGGACAGGUGCCUGCAGGCAGUGGUGCAGUUUUGGGACUAUGGGUUUCCAAAGCGGCGAGAGCCCCCUCCUGGACAACUGGAGAAACUCAGGAGAGAGCAAGAGAGCCCGCCUGCGAGGUUACCUCCUUCCAGGUUCCCCUUUGGGCUUCCUUUUCACAGUCUUGACCGUGGGAUGGGGUAGGGGGGGGGCGGCUUGUCUCCCCCGGCAUCCUGGGCU